Long non-coding RNA from Heterocephalus glaber (naked mole-rat), 2415 nucleotides. The record is from Ensembl. Lineage: Eukaryota; Metazoa; Chordata; Mammalia; Rodentia; Bathyergidae.
UGCGUGGGGGCACCGGUUUUGAAAUUUUCAUCCCAGGCCCAGGGAUGAUGGAGAUGGAGCAGAAGGCAUGUCAGUGGCUGCUCUCAGGGUAGGAGGUGUGCAGGUUCCUCAGUGCCCAGAGACAGCCUGGUGCUUGAAUGUUUCAUGCUGAGAACCAGCCUGAGAGCAUUAUCAGCAGAUGGCCUCCACGCUGAAAGAUGUUUCAGUAAUUUCCAGAAAACAAUGAUGACAACAAUAACAGGAAGAAGACACCUACACAGAAACAGCCAAAGAAUGUGAUGGCAUUGAGUGACUUCCAGAGUCCUGAUCUCAAGAGGCCCUGCAGUAUGCACCUUUGCCCUUUUGCUUCUCUGUCCUGAGACCAUGAUGGAAGGAAGUCAGUCUAACUUGCUGGAAGAUGAGAGGCCGCAUGGAGGAAAGCCAAGACCCCCAGCCCACUGCCAGCACCAACUGCCAGAUACCAUUGUUAUUUUGUUCCAUCUAUUUGGGUGUGAGAAAAAAUUCAGUUUCACUCUGGCUGUCUUUGAUUCCUGGUGUUCUGGAAGGAUGAGGCCACUGGGGGAGAACUGAUGCUCACAAUCCCCUACUACAAUGGGUAGACAAAGAAGUGACCAAUAGUCUUGUAAAAAUGACUUUGGUUUCAAGUACUUGAUAUAAAAGACACUGUGGUUUCCUCCUUGCCCUCUUUGGAUAACUCACUCUGGGAGAAACUGGCCUCCAAGUUGUGAGGACACUCAAGCAGCCCUUUAGGGGAGGAUCCCAUGGGAAGUAACUAAAAUCUCCUGUCAAGAAUCACCAUGUACUUUCAACCAUGUGAACAACCUUGAAAGUGGAACUUCUAGCCCCAGUUUUAAACAUUCUAAUGACUACAACAGGGCUGACAUCCUGGCUGUCAGAAUGAUACACUUGAGCUACUCCUACAUUAAUGAUCAAACAAACUGUAUGAGAUAAUACAUGUUCAUUGUUUUUUUAAUCCACUGUGACUUGAGGUAACUUGUACAGUGAUAGCUAACUAAUACACCAUUUCAUACUGCUACAUUGACUACUGUUUAGGUUAUAUAAGAGCAAAAACUGGAUUUCAGGUGAGAGUUUGCUGAGUGGCAGAAUAAUGAACAGUCAUGAUCAGUUGACUAUUGUUGCUGUUUUUGAGAACCUCUGACCUCAAGUGAUCUGAUUCCAAUCUGACUAUCUGUCACAUCUCACAGAAAACUCAUAGCCACACCAGGUUAUUAGUACUGUGUUAAAAAUGUAAAUUAUCAUUUAUUGUAUACUCCCAGUGUACUGGGCCCAUUCUCGAAUAAUUUUCAAGACCACUCUAUGAAAAAGGUACUAGUUUUAGUUUCAUUGUACUCUGAUCAGGAAACUAUUUGCCAUGGCUGAUGUCCCCACCAAAAUUCAGGUUGAAAUUUAAUCCCUGGUCUGAGGUAUUAAGAGAUGGGACCUUUAAGAGGGGAUUAGGUCAUGAGGCCUCUGACUUCAUAGAGAGGAUUAAUCCACUUAUAGAUUAAUGGGCCAGUGAGUAAUCUUGAGAAUGAGUUUGUUAUAAAAGCCAAUUUGACUCUUUCUGUUGUUUGUGCUCCUCUCACCAUGUGAUGUCCUGUACCAUCAGGGGGCUCUGCCGAAGAAGGACCUCACUAAGUGUAGCCUCUUGAACAUGGACCUCCUGGCCUCUAGAACCAUGAGAUGAAUAAAACUUCAUUCUUUAUAAAUUUCCCACUCUCAAGUGUUCUGUUACAGCAGGAGACAGACCAAAAUACUUCUUGGGAAAGAUUACACAGUUAGAGGAUAUGAAGUGAGCAUGCGUGACUUUGCAGUCUGAGCUUCUCAGACAUCUGUUUUUUAGAGCUCCUCCCUGUCUUUGGCACAGGGGAGGUGAUAGUUGAGUUAUGUCUUGAAAUAGAAGUAGGUGUUCACCUGCUAGAGAAAGGAGAAGAGACCAUUAGGAAGAGGGACCAAUAUGGGAAGUGAAAACGGGGCACCAACGAAGUGAGAGUAAACUAGUAUUUGAACUCAAGUUCAUCCAGUUCUAAAAGCUGUCAAGAAAUGGAAAGCUUGUGUGGCAAAGAGUACACAAAAGAGAGCAAACACAGAUUACAAUUUUUCUUUCAACAAAUGGAAAUGCAGUCCUAUUGUCUUCUGGUUCCCAUUGUUGCUGAUGGAAAAUCAAUUGUCUAAUUCCUGUUCUUUUUUAAGAUAAUUCAGCUCCCAACUGUUUUUAAUUUUUUUCCUUUAUCUUUGAUUUUCAGGAGGCUUUUAGGUUUUAAAAGUACUGUGUCUAGGUAUGGAUUAUUUAUUUAUUUAUUUAGUUUUAUUUAUUCUGCUUGGGAUUUGUAGGACUUCUUGAAUCUUCUUUUUUUUGGUACCGGGGGGUCAAACUUGGGUCCUUCCGCUUGCGAGGCAGGUGGCAGAACCACU